This 347-nucleotide long non-coding RNA is filed under the name Capsicum annuum. RNAcentral describes it as "long non-coding RNA (CANN_LNC000584)". Lineage: Eukaryota; Viridiplantae; Streptophyta; Magnoliopsida; Solanales; Solanaceae. The record is from RNAcentral.
AACAAAUGACUAACCUGUUAUAAACAUUUGUUGCAACAGAUGACUAACUUGUUGCAACAAAUAGGUCAUCUGUUAGAAAAUAAUUAAAAUACUAGGGAACUCAAACAUUUUUAGGAGAACUCAAAUGUUUGUCCCAUUAUCUUAAAGACGCCUUUAAUUUUAGCUAGAUCAAUAUAGUUAUUACUAGUAAUUGCUUAAUUUGAAUCAACAGAUGACUAACAUGUUACAUCAGAUGAUUCAUCUGUUUGAAAUUAUCUAAUAGAUAGAAAAUCAGUUGUAACAGAUGAGUCAUCUAUUAGAAAGCAAUUAAAAUACUAGGAAACUUAAACAUUUUUAGGAGAACUCAA